AAAUUCGAGUAAUCGCUGCAACUCAUUACGAAGUUGUAGAGGAAAGUCCAUGCUCACACGGCUCUGAGAUGACCGUAGUGUUCGUGCUUACUGAAAAAAUAAGGUAAGGCAAGGCUCGCCUUGACGGCGGAAGGAAAACCUAAGUCUUUUGAUAUGGUUGACACUUCCUGAAAGUGCCACAGUGACGUAGCUUCAUUGGAAACAGUGAAGGUGGAACGAGGUAAACCCCACGAGUGAGAAACCCAAAUUAUGGUAGGGGCACUCUCCUGAAGGAAAUGAACGGAUGGAGGGACGAAAGAUUUCUUUCGUAGAUAGAUGAUUACUACCCGCUUUGUACGAGGUUUUUAACCGUUUGAGUACUCGGGAACAAAACAUGGCUUAUGAA
This 385-nucleotide RNase P RNA is filed under the name Lysinibacillus telephonicus. Its description in RNAcentral is "Bacterial RNase P class B". It matches the Rfam family "Bacterial RNase P class B". Rfam says of the family: Ribonuclease P (RNase P) is a ubiquitous endoribonuclease, found in archaea, bacteria and eukarya as well as chloroplasts and mitochondria. Its best characterised activity is the generation of mature 5'-ends of tRNAs by cleaving the 5'-leader elements of precursor-tRNAs. The record is from Rfam by way of RNAcentral. Lineage: Bacteria; Bacillati; Bacillota; Bacilli; Caryophanales; Bacillaceae.